CGCCCAUCAGCUAGCCUAUAAACCUAAAAACAACAAACCACAUUAAUUAGCCCCAAAUACACUUAACCAACUUAAACAAACCAUUUUCCCCCUCUAGUAUGUGUGACAGAAAAAG
Molecule: ribosomal RNA, 115 nt
Filed under: Nemipterus virgatus (golden threadfin bream)
Lineage: Eukaryota; Metazoa; Chordata; Actinopteri; Spariformes; Nemipteridae
Description: partial 16S ribosomal RNA
Source: RNAcentral